This is a long non-coding RNA of Bradysia coprophila, 242 nucleotides long. The record is from RefSeq and is a predicted model, not a curated record. NCBI's taxonomy places the organism in Eukaryota, Metazoa, Arthropoda, Insecta, Diptera, Sciaridae.
CACUUUUAAGCGUGUAUUUUACACACUGUGUGUAAAAACUUUUAAGAAGUGUGUAUUCUACACACUUUUAUGUUUGCACAAAAAAUGUCCAACUACACACUUUUGGGAAAAAGAAAACAUUUGUUGAAAUAAUAAAUUUAAAAUGACCGCCUAAACUUUAACGGUGGCUCUUUAUCAACAAAGAUACUUUAUCUAGAAUGUUAGUGUCUGGAAUGAUAAUUUUUUGCAACAAGUACGAAAAG